Molecule: ribosomal RNA, 822 nt
Filed under: Escherichia fergusonii
Lineage: Bacteria; Pseudomonadati; Pseudomonadota; Gammaproteobacteria; Enterobacterales; Enterobacteriaceae
Description: bacterial SSU rRNA
Rfam family: Bacterial small subunit ribosomal RNA
Source: RNAcentral
CUUCGCUGACGAGUGGCGGACGGGUGAGUAAUGUCUGGGAAACUGCCUGAUGGAGGGGGAUAACUACUGGAAACGGUAGCUAAUACCGCAUAACGUCGCAAGACCAAAGAGGGGGACCUUCGGGCCUCUUGCCAUCGGAUGUGCCCAGAUGGGAUUAGCUAGUAGGUGGGGUAACGGCUCACCUAGGCGACGAUCCCUAGCUGGUCUGAGAGGAUGACCAGCCACACUGGAACUGAGACACGGUCCAGACUCCUACGGGAGGCAGCAGUGGGGAAUAUUGCACAAUGGGCGCAAGCCUGAUGCAGCCAUGCCGCGUGUAUGAAGAAGGCCUUCGGGUUGUAAAGUACUUUCAGCGGGGAGGAAGGGAGUAAAGUUAAUACCUUUGCUCAUUGACGUUACCCGCAGAAGAAGCACCGGCUAACUCCGUGCCAGCAGCCGCGGUAAUACGGAGGGUGCAAGCGUUAAUCGGAAUUACUGGGCGUAAAGCGCACGCAGGCGGUUUGUUAAGUCAGAUGUGAAAUCCCCGGGCUCAACCUGGGAACUGCAUCUGAUACUGGCAAGCUUGAGUCUCGUAGAGGGGGGUAGAAUUCCAGGUGUAGCGGUGAAAUGCGUAGAGAUCUGGAGGAAUACCGGUGGCGAAGGCGGCCCCCUGGACGAAGACUGACGCUCAGGUGCGAAAAGCGUGGGGGAGCAAACAGGGAUUAGAAUACCCCUGGGUAGUCCCACGCCCGUAAAACGAAUGUCCAACUUGGAAAGGUUGGUGCCCCUUGAGGGCGGGGCUUUCCGGAAGCUUAACGCCGUUAAAGUCCAACCGCCCUGGGG